Molecule: ribosomal RNA, 1603 nt
Filed under: Coscinasterias acutispina
Lineage: Eukaryota; Metazoa; Echinodermata; Asteroidea; Forcipulatida; Asteriidae
Description: large subunit ribosomal RNA
Rfam family: Bacterial large subunit ribosomal RNA
Source: RNAcentral
UUAAAAUAAUUAGUCUAAUUUAAUCUAAUAUAGAAAUGUGUUAAGGAGAUUAAUAAAAAUCAAAAAAUUGGUAAUUUACAGGUGUGGUAGUAUUGUAAUAAGAACCCAUAAGUUAGAACUAUAUUAAUAAGUACUGUGAAGGAAAAUUGAAAUAAAAAGAAAAGCUAUAACAGGUUAAGAAAAAUUUAAUUGUUGUACCUUUUGUAUAAUGGUUAAGUAAGAAUAAAUUAAAAGUGUUUUGCAUCCCGAAACUUAAUGAUCUAGUGAGUUCUGUUUCAUAGGAAAUAUGGUUUUACUGUUGCAAUAGUAAUCCUAGAGGGUUCAUUAGUUGUGAAAUGCUAAUCGUAUUAAGUGAUAGCUGGUUCUUCAAGAAAUUAAUCUAAGUUAAAAAUAAAUUUAUAAGAUAAAACUUUCUUUUUGGAAAAAAGUUACUUCUCAUAUAAUAUUUUAUUUUAAGACAGGUGGGGAUAAGCUCGCUUGUCAAGUAGGAAAAAGCCUUAAUAAAUAAUUAAUAACAUUAUAAAUUUAAUGCAAGUAAGAGAUGAGUAGGAUUAAUAGCAUCUAUCUAAUAUAAAAGCGUUAAAGCUUGUCUGUUGGUUUGUGCAAAAAAUAUUGAAUAUAGAGUUUGAAGUUUUUAUUAAAUCUAUUGAAGAAUUUUAUUAAAGAUUUAAAAGAUAUAAUGCUUAAAUUAGUAAAGAGAUUAUAAUUGGUUGCGAGUUAAUCAACCCUAACUUAGGAUGGAUAAAAAGUUUAUUAAUCAAGAAUAAAACUUUUUCGGGUUGUCUUCCAACUCAGGAAAUUAAUAAGGUAAUAUAAAUUAAGGAAAAGGAACUCGGCAAAUGCAGACCUCGCCUGUUUACCAAAAACAUCGCUCCUUGCAAAAAAAUUGAUGAAUAAGGAGUUCUGCCUGCCCAGUGACGUAGUUAAACGGCCGCGGUAUUUUGACCGUGCAAAGGUAGCAUAAUCAUUUGCCUCUUAAAUAGGGGCUGGUAUGAAUGGCAAGACGAAGGUUAAGCUGUCUCUUUCUUAUAACUUGAAUUUAAUAUUCUUGUGAAGAAGCAGGAAUAAAUUUGUAGGACGAGAAGACCCUAUCGAGCUUUAGCAAAGUUAUUAGUAGUUAUUAAUACAAUUGGUCUAAUAAGGUUAGUCAUAACAGGUGAUUUUUAGCUUCUUGUUUGUUGCUGCUUAAUAAAAUAGUUUUGAUUGGGGCAAUCGCGGAGUAUAUAAAGCCUCCGCUAAAGAAGUUAAAAAAUUACUAUUUUACAGAAAGUGAUCCGCUAUUUAGCGAGCAAAGGAAUAAGUUACCGUAGGGAUAACAGCGUAAUUUUUUUGGAGAGUUCAUAUUGAUAAAAAAGUUUGCGACCUCGAUGUUGGAUCGAGAUUUCCUAGAGAUGCAGCAGUUUCUAAGGGUUGGUCUGUUCGACCAUUAAAAUCUUACGUGAUCUGAGUUCAGACCGGCGUAAGCCAGGUCAGUUUCUAUCCACGAAAGUUGUGUUUUUCUUAGUACGAAAGGACCAGAAAAGCAGUACCAAUUUUUUAAAAAAAGUACUAAAAAAAAGUUUUGAAAAAAAAUGAAAAUUUUCACUAAAAAAUUUUAUUUUUG